GACGUAGGGUGCGAGCGUUGUCCGGAUUUAUUGGGCGUAAAGAGCUCGUAGGCGGCUCGUCGCGUCGACCGUGAAAACCCGCGGCUUAACUGCGGGCUUGCGGUUGAUACGGGCGGGCUAGAGUUCGGUAGGGGAGACUGGAAUUCCUGGUGUAGCGGUGAAAUGCGCAGAUAUCAGGAGGAACACCGAUGGCGAAGGCAGCCCCCUGGGAUGUGACUGACGCUCAUGUACGAAAGCGUGGGGAGCAAACAGG
Molecule: ribosomal RNA, 253 nt
Filed under: uncultured bacterium
Lineage: Bacteria
Description: partial 16S ribosomal RNA
Rfam family: Bacterial small subunit ribosomal RNA
Source: RNAcentral